GGCUCAGGAUGAACGCUAGCGACAGGCCUAACACAUGCAAGUCAGGGGCAGCACAAGGAGCAAUCUGAGGUGGCGACCGGCGCACGGGUGAGUAACACGUAUGCAACCUGCCUGUAAGCGGGGAAUAACCCGUUGAAAGACGGACUAAUACCGCAUAAUACUAAAUUACUGCAUGGUAAUUUAUUUAAACAUUUAUGGCUUACAGAUGGGCAUGCGCAUGAUUAGCUAGUUGGAGAGGUAACGGCUCCCCAAGGCAACGAUCAUUAGGGGUUCUGAGAGGAAGGUCCCCCACACUGGUACUGAGACACGGACCAGACUCCUACGGGAGGCAGCAGUGAGGAAUAUUGGUCAAUGGACGAGAGUCUGAACCAGCCAAGUCGCGUGCAGGAAGAAUGUCCUAUGGAUUGUAAACUGCUUUUGCAGGGGAAUAAAGUGCAUCACGUGUGAUGUUUUGUAUGUACUCUGCGAAUAAGGAUCGGCUAACUCCGUGCCAGCCGCGGC
This 501-nucleotide ribosomal RNA is filed under the name uncultured bacterium. RNAcentral describes it as "bacterial SSU rRNA". It matches the Rfam family "Bacterial small subunit ribosomal RNA", at positions 21 to 518 of the family's 1533-position model. The record is from RNAcentral.